This 510-nucleotide ribosomal RNA is filed under the name uncultured bacterium. RNAcentral's name for it is "bacterial SSU rRNA". It matches the Rfam family "Bacterial small subunit ribosomal RNA", at positions 19 to 518 of the family's 1533-position model. The record is from RNAcentral.
CUGGCUCAGGAUGAACGCUAGCUACAGGCUUAACACAUGCAAGUCAGGGGCAGCAGGGCGAUAGCUUGCUAUUGCCGCUGGCGACCGGCGCACGGGUGAGUAACGCGUAUCCAACCUCCCCCUUAGUAGGGAAUAGCCCGGCGAAAGUCGGAUUAAUGCCCUAUGUUCUUCAAUGCGGACAUCUAACUUGAAGCAAAGAUUCAUCGCUAAGGGAUGGGGAUGCGUCUGAUUAGCUUGUCGGCGGGGUAACGGCCCACCGAGGCGACGAUCAGUAGGGGCUCUGAGAGGAAGGUCCCCCACAUUGGUACUGAGACACGGACCAAACUCCUACGGGAGGCAGCAGUGAGGAAUAUUGGUCAAUGGGCGCGAGCCUGAACCAGCCAAGUAGCGUGCAGGAAAGACUGCCCUAUGGGUUGUAAACUGCUUUUAUGCGGGAAUAAAGUCAGGUACGCGUGCCUGUUUGUAUGUACCGCAUGAAUAAGGACCGGCUAAUUCCGUGCCAGCAGCGGC